This 417-nucleotide ribosomal RNA is filed under the name uncultured bacterium. Its description in RNAcentral is "bacterial SSU rRNA". It matches the Rfam family "Bacterial small subunit ribosomal RNA", at positions 360 to 793 of the family's 1533-position model. The record is from RNAcentral.
AAUCUUGGACAAUGGGGGGCAACCCUGAUCCAGCCAUGCCGCGUGAGUGAUGAAGGCCUUAGGGUCGUAAAGCUCUUUCGCCUGUGAUGAUAAUGACAGUAGCAGGUAAAGAAACCCCGGCUAAACUCCGUGCCAGCAGCCGCGGUAAUACGGAGGGGUUAGCGUUGUUCGGAAUUACUGGGCGUAAAGCGCGCGUAGGCGGAUUAGUCAGUUAGAGGUGAAAUCCCAGGGCUCAACCCUGGAACUGCCUUUAAUACUGCUAGUCUUGAGUUCGAGAGAGGUGAGUGGAAUUCCGAGUGUAGAGGUGAAAUUCGUAGAUAUUCGGAGGAACACCAGUGGCGAAGGCGGCUCACUGGCUCGAUACUGACGCUGAGGUGCGAAAGUGUGGGGAGCAAACAGGAUUAGAUACCCUGGUAG